Molecule: ribosomal RNA, 588 nt
Filed under: uncultured bacterium
Lineage: Bacteria
Description: partial 16S ribosomal RNA
Rfam family: Bacterial small subunit ribosomal RNA
Source: RNAcentral
UGGGGAAUAUUGGACAAUGGGCGCAAGCCUGAUCCAGCAAUGCCGCGUGUGUGAAGAAGGCCUUCGGGUUGUAAAGCACUUUUAUCAGGAGCGAAACGCUGUCGGCUAAUACCCGGCGGAACUGACGGUACUUGAGGAAUAAGCACCGGCUAACUUCGUGCCAGCAGCCGCGGUAAUACGAAGGGUGCAAGCGUUAAUCGGAAUUACUGGGCGUAAAGCGUGCGUAGGCGGUUUCUUAAGUCUGCUGUGAAAUCCCCGGGCUCAACCUGGGAAUGGCAGUGGAUACUGGGAGGCUAGAGUGUGUCAGAGGGUGGUGGAAUUCCCGGUGUAGCGGUGAAAUGCGUAGAGAUCGGGAGGAACAUCAGUGGCGAAGGCGGCCACCUGGGACAACACUGACGCUGAGGCACGAAAGCGUGGGGAGCAAACAGGAUUAGAUACCCUGGUAGUCCACGCCCUAAACGAUGCGAACUGGAUGUUGGUCUCAACUCGGAGAUCAGUGUCGAAGCUAACGCGUUAAGUUCGCCGCCUGGGGAGUACGGUCGCAAGACUGAAACUUAAAUGAAUUGACGGGGUCAUAGUUGUUUCCUG